RNAcentral lists this long non-coding RNA (1098 nucleotides) under Lupinus angustifolius (narrow-leaved blue lupine). RNAcentral's name for it is "long non-coding RNA (LANG_LNC003760)". Lineage: Eukaryota; Viridiplantae; Streptophyta; Magnoliopsida; Fabales; Fabaceae. The record is from RNAcentral.
GAAAAGUCUGAUUGCUUAAUUCUCACGCAAUACGGUUUUUUCUGAACUCGCAGUCGCAAUAAUAAUAUUUCCUUUCUCACUCACUCAUUCAAUUCUUUCAUUAAUUUCACUCUAUUCUUUCACUAAUUUCACUCUAUUCUUUCACUAAUUUCUUUCUCAAUCGAUCAAAGAUGCUUAUCAUCUAUCAAGACUCUCCCUCACCACCUUCUUCAUCACACGCUCCACCGUCUUCGUUGUCGGGACCCUUAUCCCCCACCCCACUCUCUUAUUGCUUACCUCGCACUCCACCGCCAUCGUGGCCGGGAGUUGCGGCGGCGACACCCUCGUCAUCGCCCACACCACUGUCGUGCAUGAUAAAGAAAGCAGAGAAGGAGGCACAUUUAUUUCUGGAAAAUAAUAGAAAGUUACAAAACACGAAGGAAGCUUUAGAGGCAAAGCGAACACAACAAAUUCGCAUUCUUAUGUCUAUGCGCUGAUUAAUAAAACAACAAAUCCUUCUUCUUCCUUCACUCAUGUCACGUGGUUUUGUUUUUUCAUUUUAUAAAAUUGAUUUCUCCAUCUUAACUUUGUUUCUCUCUUAGGAUAUCGCGAACAAGAUUCUAAAUUUGGAUCGUCAAAGGUUUUAGGAGUUGUUGAAACUACAUCAUACAGUUGACGUCUAGGAACAUACUUCUAUUCAGGAGCAACCUUUGUUAACGAAGCUGAGUAUCUCAUGUCCUGUCCUGUCCCGUUUUUUGUUUUUUGUUUUUAUUUCAAUUAAUUGCAAUUAACAUUAAAUUGAUUGAUUUUUGUUGCAACGUAUGUCUGCAUUAACUGAAACAUUCAAAUUUUGGUAUCCAUGAAUUUGACAUGUUCUUUAAUUUGCAACUAUUCCAAUUUCAUUUAUGGUAUACUAUUUACUCGUGAGCUAUUUUCUCAUACUCCAUUGAGUAUUCUCAAACAUGAAGAGUUCUUGCUUUUAACCUGAACCCUAAACUCCAGAUCCAUUGAUAUGGGUCAGUGAUGCUGACUUUGCAAUUGAUCUAAUUGGUUAUUCCUUUUUUGUUGGAAUCUAGGUGGAAAGGGUAAGUCUUCGAAGAAACCCACGUUGGUCGCGUC